RNAcentral lists this long non-coding RNA (681 nucleotides) under Capra hircus (goat). Its description in RNAcentral is "lncRNA (ENSCHIG00010027469.1)". The record is from RNAcentral. Lineage: Eukaryota; Metazoa; Chordata; Mammalia; Artiodactyla; Bovidae.
CCUCAUGGAAAAUGCCACUGGGACAACAUCAAGCUUCGAAACCCUUGUGUUUUCUGGCCAGGGAUAAAGGGNNNNNNNNCUCCUACACUGAUUUCCGGCCCCCUAGUUUCUCAUUGUUCUGAAAAAGUUUGUAAUUUAAUUGCUAAACAUGAGAAAUGUGAUUAGUAAUGUUUGGCUCCUCUGGUUGAUUCUGUAGAAAGACUUUUUCACACAUUGACAUCAAGCACCUGCACACAUGUUGGGCGGUGGUCUGCUAACAGCCCAGAGCCUUGGUCUGCCUCCAUGCCAGGCUGCAGUGUCAGAGCCCGCUCCUUCCUGCUACACUCCAACAUUCCUCAUAGCUGGAAGAAGUUAUCUGCAGGCCAGCCGAGAAGACAACAUCGCUCCUCUCCUGCCUCCGUGGAAUGUGCCCUGCUCCGUAGCAAUGCUGUCAUCAAAUAUGGGCACAAUCUGAAGUGCUGCGGGUUAGAACUUCAACAGAUGAACUGGGGGAUGACACCCAAUUCAGCCUGUAGCAACAGCAGUUUCAACGGGGGUGCCUCGUCUCCAGAGGCAGCGCUUGGAGUGGAAGCAGCCACGUGUAACAGCAGCUGCCAAAUCACGUGGAAGGGUGGGUCUUUUAUCUGCAUGUUUUCCUUUAAGCCUGCUGUCUUCAUCAAUCAAACUCUUAUUCAACACUAA